GGCAAGAGCACUCUGUGUUACUAUAAAAAAAUCGAGUAAAACAAUUUGUAAUCUUGCUAUAAAAAUAUGCAAAUGUAGCUUUAUGCAGAUUUGCUGAAAUUUUUGCUCUUCUGUGAUAAUAUUUUGCAACAAAAUUUG
This is a small nucleolar RNA of Teleopsis dalmanni, 138 nucleotides long. RefSeq annotates it as small nucleolar RNA psi18S-841/snoR66. The transcript has a single exon. The record is from RefSeq and is a predicted model, not a curated record. Lineage: Eukaryota; Metazoa; Arthropoda; Insecta; Diptera; Diopsidae.